UCUUUCCCCACAAUGCAAAACUAGUCCUUGAAUUUCAAGGCAAGCAGCAACCAUUAAUCAUCCUUAAACUCAACGAAUUAAUGAAUUUACCUGUCGAAUUUCUUAGGGAUAUUGUAAUUGAAUACUCUUUUCCUGACUGAAAAUCAAACAAGGUGAUGCUAUCAAGAAUCAGGCGCGCGCGCCUAUAUAUACACCUGUGCCUACGUGCGUCUUCUUGACGCGAUCGACAUUCCAAGACUGAGUGAGUGGCUGUAGUUGGAGAAUUCAUCAGAAUUUCAGUCCAAGUUCAGUGUUUCUAAAGUGAAGACAUGUUAAGGUGAAUGGCCGACUUUCUACUAACACUAUAAGCAUAAGCGUCACUUAUGUGACCAUGAAAAGAUUUUUACGCACUAGCUCUGACACUACCUCACCAGCAAGGAUAUGCCUCAGUGGAGUGAUGGCUUUUCUGAUCACCUAGAGGCACUUUGAUCUGUGUUGCCUCAGUGCUUCUGUGGGAUGUACGUUGCUAUCAUUUUUGCUUAGGAUGGUUGAAGAGAUUGUCACGGAUCACAAUAGUGGGAUGGAAUUUAGCCAGAUCAGCUUGUUUCCGUUGGUUUUAAUGGAGUUGCCCAAAUGUUGAAGUUUCUGCAAGGAAGAAGAAUUCCAGUCACACUCGUACAUUCUGUAUGCAUCCUACAAUCUGAUACUCACUAUGGCAAGACAUAAACCUUCAUCUGUCCACUUUAAUGGCUCUUUUCGUUUUUAUCCCCCGCCCUAGUACGCAGGGGAUGCUCUUGAAACACAUGGAGGGUGAAUAUCUACGUACCAUUGGGGAAUUUGAUAUUAGAAUCAUGCAUUUGAAAUUGAUAAUGGAAUUGAAAUGAAUCAGACAUGAGUCCGGGAACCAUUGCCAUUGGCAGGUUUGAAUGUUUGCAGUGUGGCAUUGUUGAGGAGUUGUUCUGGAAUUUGAUUGUACAAGAGAUGGAAUCUUGGAAUGAAUUUGAAUUGAAUA
Sesamum indicum (sesame) is the source of this 991-nucleotide non-coding RNA. The record is from RefSeq and is a predicted model, not a curated record. NCBI's taxonomy places the organism in Eukaryota, Viridiplantae, Streptophyta, Magnoliopsida, Lamiales, Pedaliaceae.